ACACGACUACAUUAGAUACCCGUGUAGUCCUAGCCGUAAACGAUACUCGCUAGGUGUCGGCCACGGUGCGACCGUUGUCGGUGCCGUAGGGAAGCCGUGAAGCGAGCCACCUGGGAAGUACGGCCGCAAGGCUGAAACUUAAAGGAAUUGGCGGGGGAGCACAACAACGGGUGGAGCUUGCGGUUUAAUUGGAUUCAACGCCGGAAAUCUUACCGGGACCGACAGCAACAUGAAAGCCAAGCUGAAGACUUUGCCGGAUUAGCUG
RNAcentral lists this ribosomal RNA (265 nucleotides) under uncultured archaeon. RNAcentral describes it as "partial 16S ribosomal RNA". It matches the Rfam family "Archaeal small subunit ribosomal RNA", at positions 719 to 982 of the family's 1478-position model. The record is from RNAcentral.